UUAAUUCAUUACCUAGACUCUUUGACAGCCAAACACUCAGUUAACAAAAACCAAGCUAUCUCUGUUCUCUUUCCAUUCCGCUCCCACUUCUCUCCUAAGCUCUCAAAUACUUGAAUCUUCUCACUUCAUUUUCAUCUAAGGUCGAAAAUCAGUAGCUACUUUACCUCUGUGCCUUGCUUCUCAUCAUGUUAAGGGAACAAAUGGAGGACUUUGAGAUUUCAAACCACUGAGCUUCUCUCUAUUUUGCUUCAAUACCAGAAAUUUUCUUUCCUUUCGAAUAAGCCCACAUAUGGUGAAGCUCUAGCUAUUGCCUAGUCUCUAAUUGAGUGAUUUAUCGAGUUCUGGGAUUUGCCCAAUCGAAGUAUGUGACCUUAAUUCCUAUACCACUCAGUCAUUUGAACAAAUUUAAAAGUUCAACCGUUGUACCGAGUCGGGGCCUCCAUCAUUCUCAAACACAUAAGUAGAAGAACCUUACUGUUCAAAACUCACAAUCAAGAUUGGUCAGAGGAACAACAAAAGCCCUAGAAUCAUAGUCCUCCACUUUAUUGAAUAGCAUUGUUCCAAUGGAGAAGGAUCAGAAGGUAGCAUCUGAAGACCCCAAGGUGGAUAUGUUCAAGGACGAUGACGAGUUUGAAUAGUUCAACAUCAAUCUAGGUUGCUUGAUUUCUGCUAUACUUCCCCAUGAAACUAGCAAGUUUAUGACUGAGCCCGUAAGUGGUAAACGUGAUGAGUUGAUAAUAUAGGUAUGCAAUUAAUCCUCCUGUUUUUUUCCCUCUCUCUAUGAUGUCUAUAAUUCUCACCUUUUGAAUGGAUUCUGUGAUCAGUUUGUUUUUUUAGAUUGAUUUGCCAAACGACUGUGGUCACUCAAUUCAACUUGGAACUAUGAUUUUUUUUUUUUGGGUGCUUCUGUGUAAUGAAUUUGAUUGUAGUGACACCUUCUAAUUAUGUUUUGCUUUUUGUUGCGAGGAUCAUGUGUGUUCUGUGAGACGUUGUGAGAAAUUCUAAAACUUUGAUGGGCGAUCUUAGGCCUUGGUCGCCUGAGCCAAACGGCGCUGUUUUGGAGGAGAGGCUGACCUCAUCUUCUUCAUCCGUGUUUUCAAUUUCAACAAAUUAGAGGGACGUUUCCGCCGAGUACUGGCGGAGAGCGGAGGAGGCAAUGCAGGGGGUUAUAGCUCAGAUCCAACGUACUCACGUCUCCAAGCGGAGAAGGAAAGCCGCCAUUGAUUACGUUCAGAGGAUCAUUGGAGCUUGUAUUGGUUGUUAGGUGUUCCCGUUUGGAUCAGUACCUCUGAAGACAUAUCUGCCGGAUGGAGUGCUGUUCUUGAAAGGGAAGAUCACAAUAUGGCUGCUGAGUUUAUGGUGAAGGACAUGCAGUUAAUUCGGGCAAAGAACAAAUGGGGAACUCUGAGAUUUCAAACCACUAACCUCUCUAUUUUGAUCAGUAUCAGAAACUUUCUUUUGGAUCAAGGGCUCAAGUGGACUGAAGAUUGGUCCUUUGGUACUUGCUGGGAGUUGCACAUCAAGGAUUCCAGGUUAAGCUUGUAAAGUGCCUUGUGCAAAAUAUUGUGGUUGAUAUAUCCUUCAAUCAGUUAGGAGGGCUAUGUACGUUAUGCUUUCUUGAGCAGGUUGAUCGCCUCAUUGGCAAACAUCAUCUCUUUAAACGUAGUAUCAUACUGAUUAAGGCAUGGUGCUAUUGUGAGAGUCGAAUUCUCGGUGCCCAUCACGGUUUGAUAUCUACAUAUGGUUUGGUGACCUUAGUUCUUUUUAUCUACGUGUCAUUGUUUCAGGUGAAAGGAGAGUGAUACUAAGGGACCACAGUAUGCAAACAACACUUCAAAACUUGAAUCUGAUCUCUCAAGUCAGUGGAGAUCGCUCAUUCACAUGGAGGAUAUCUUUGUAAAUGAAGGCAACCACUUUACCCUGCUCAGACUGGUGUCAUUGGCUAUGGAAAUCCGACUAAACGAGCUCGUUCUUUGUCAGCUUCUUAUUAAAGAGGGAAGCCUAGUCAGAUUUUUUGGGUGCCCUAUAACUCAGGGUAUGAAAGCUUGAUUCAUGCAUAUAUUUUGUUGGCUGCCUAGAUUAAUAGAUAUGGGCCAUUUUGAACUUAUGCUCAUGAAUAGGUUUGUGUACAUGAGACAA
This is an RNA transcript of Rosa chinensis, 2139 nucleotides long. RefSeq lists it as uncharacterized. The record is from RefSeq and is a predicted model, not a curated record. The transcript is spliced from 11 exons. Lineage: Eukaryota; Viridiplantae; Streptophyta; Magnoliopsida; Rosales; Rosaceae.